CCCUUAGAUGUUCUGGGCCGCACGCGCGCUACACUGAUGGAUUCAACGAGUUUUAUUCUACUCUUUAAUGGGUGGGUAUGUCCUUGGUCGGAAGGCCUGGGUAAUCUUGUAAAUGUCCAUCGUGAUGGGGCUAGAUUUUUGCAAUUUUGAAUCUCCAACGAGGAAUUCCUAGUAAACGCAAGUCAUCAGCUUGCAUUGAUUACGUCCCUGCCCUUUGUACACACCGCCCGUCGCACCUACCGAUUGAACGGUCCGGUGAAAUCUUGGGAUUUGCAUGUUGUUGAUUGAUUUCAGGAUGUGCGAAGAACUUGAGUAAACCUUACCGUUUAGAGGAAGGUGAAGUCGUAACA
RNAcentral lists this ribosomal RNA (350 nucleotides) under uncultured eukaryote. Its description in RNAcentral is "partial 18S ribosomal RNA". It matches the Rfam family "Eukaryotic small subunit ribosomal RNA", at positions 1470 to 1796 of the family's 1831-position model. The record is from RNAcentral.